UUUUUUUUUUUUUUUUUGUUGAAAGAGUUAUUACAACUACAACUAUAAUUAUAACUACAACUAUAACUAUAACUGCAACUAUAACUACAACGAUAAGAACUAUCACUACUCUGAAGACAACGAUGUGUUUUCUCAAGAUGAUAACGGAUCUAGCUUCGCCAUCAAUAAGUAUGAGACAAAGGAGUCCAUCUUUGAUGAAACAUCCAUUUUCCUGUUGUACAUUUUUGCAGGACAACUAGCCUGAGCACAAGAGACAUGGUGUACUAGACCUUGUGCGGAAUGUCUACUUCAAAACUUGCAUCUUUAUAUCUGAUAUAUAGAGAUAUAGAGAUAUAGAGAUAUAGAGAGAGGCUGAUGAUUUAUAAACACAAACGAUAAGACUUGUAACAUGAAGUUUGUCGAAAAAGUCAAUCUUUAAAUUCCUUUCUGAACCUCUCUGUUAUGUCAGUGCUUCGGUAUUAUGCUUUAAUGCAGUCACUUGAGGCGUUGUCCUAAUAGGUGCAAAGUUACCGUAUAUUUAGGUUUCAUGUUUGUGAUUACUGGAGAACGACUGUGAAGAGACCAACCGUAUCGUGUUUUUUCCAAUUGUGAUCUUCCAAUGCUUAAUAAAUACGAAAUCUUAUUUCGAUUUACAGGCUGGGCAUUCACGAAACAUAGCGUUUUUACAUUUCUACAGGCACACUAUAAACAACUUGCAAUAUCUGCCAUCACUUUAUUUCUCCAACUUUGUUCAAGUUAAAAGUGGCAGAAAGUGUUUCCCGAUAUGAGAUAACCCAACGCAUAUGNUGNUGCAAAAACUAAACGCCCAUUCAUCAAGCGAGUCGAGAUGAGAGGAAUCAUUGUAUAAAANGCUAGCA
This 857-nucleotide small RNA is filed under the name Schizosaccharomyces pombe (fission yeast). RNAcentral's name for it is "small heterochromatic RNA precursor". Lineage: Eukaryota; Fungi; Ascomycota; Schizosaccharomycetes; Schizosaccharomycetales; Schizosaccharomycetaceae. The record is from RNAcentral.